UACAGAGGUGGCAAGCGUUGUUCGGAAUUACUGGGCGUAAAGGGCGCGUAGGCGGCCUACUAAGUCAGACGUGAAAUCCCCCGGCUUAACCUGGGAACUGCGUCUGAUACUGGAAGGCUUGAGUAUGGGAGAGGGAUGUAGAAUUCCAGGUGUAGCGGUGAAAUGCGUAGAUAUCUGGAGGAACACCGGUGGCGAAGGCGGCAUCCUGGACCAACACUGACGCUGAGGAGCGAAAGCCAGGGGAGCAAACGGG
RNAcentral lists this ribosomal RNA (253 nucleotides) under uncultured bacterium. RNAcentral's name for it is "partial 16S ribosomal RNA". It matches the Rfam family "Bacterial small subunit ribosomal RNA", at positions 524 to 776 of the family's 1533-position model. The record is from RNAcentral.